GACGAACGCUGGCGGCGUGCUUAACACAUGCAAGUCGAGCGGUAAGGCCUCUUCGGGGGUACACGAGCGGCGAACGGGUGAGUAACACGUGGGUGACCUGCCCUCAGCUCUGGGAUAAGCCUGGGAAACUGGGUCUAAUACCGGAUAUGACCACAUGUUGCAUGGUGUGUGGUGGAAAGUUUUUUCGGCUGGGGAUGGGCCCGCGGCCUAUCAGCUUGUUGGUGGGGUGAUGGCCUACCAAGGCGACGACGGGUAGCCGGCCUGAGAGGGCGAUCGGCCACACUGGGACUGAGACACGGCCCAGACUCCUACGGGAGGCAGCAGUGGGGAAUAUUGCGCAAUGGGCGGAAGCCUGACGCAGCGACGCCGCGUGGGGGAUGACGGCCUUCGGGUUGUAAACCUCUUUCGACCGGGACGAAGCGUAAGUGACGGUACCGGUAGAAGAAGCACCGGCCAACUACGUG
RNAcentral lists this ribosomal RNA (464 nucleotides) under uncultured bacterium. RNAcentral describes it as "partial 16S ribosomal RNA". It matches the Rfam family "Bacterial small subunit ribosomal RNA", at positions 28 to 507 of the family's 1533-position model. The record is from RNAcentral.